Molecule: non-coding RNA, 129 nt
Filed under: unclassified sequences
Description: xerDC RNA
Rfam family: xerDC RNA
Source: RNAcentral
GGUCUCUAACCCGGAGGGACCAACGGACACCCGCAGCCUUUCCGGGUGCAGCCGAGAUCAGCGGCAUGGUGUCUUCCGUCGUCCUUCGGGACAGGAGUCCAUAGGCCCCCAUACGGUUUCGUACUGACC